UUGCCUGUUGUUGAUUAGUGGAGGUUUUUAAUUGAGUUUUUGGGUUGUUUUUAUAGGCUUAGCUGUGCAACCAAUCUUCUUGCUCUCCAAACUCUCUUAUCCUUGAAAGAACUCAACCUUGGCCGAAUUUUGGUGUCAAUUUUCUUUUUCUCUUUAUGCUUGGUUUUUUUGAGUGGAACUUGUCACCAACAAGCUUAGAGAUCCGUACUGAGCUGUAGUUCGCGGGACUUGGUGAACCCAACUCUGUAGCUCGGAGCCAGGAGAAGAUCAAGUUUAGGGACCUGGGGGUGUCGGGAGAGUAGUAUUGUCUGCGUUAUCG
Long non-coding RNA from Dioscorea cayenensis subsp. rotundata (Guinea yam), 319 nucleotides. RefSeq lists it as uncharacterized. The record is from RefSeq and is a predicted model, not a curated record. NCBI's taxonomy places the organism in Eukaryota, Viridiplantae, Streptophyta, Magnoliopsida, Dioscoreales, Dioscoreaceae. The transcript is spliced from 3 exons.